GCAAAGCGCAUUAAAAUAAAAUUGUAAUAAAAAAGUGAAAUAUUUAUAAUGAAAUUUUCUUAAUAAAACGCAAUUUGAAAUAUUGCAUGUUCACAAGCAAAUGAAUGGUAAUACAUUUUCGCAUCCCAUCGAAAAAAGUUUGUCGCAACAUUCACUGCGCGCAGUAAUUAACGGUUAUAAAAUUGAUGAAAUGUGCAUGAGCCAGUAAUAACGACAAUACAAUCGGCUAUAAAAAUUACAAAUGCGCCUUUGCACGGCUAGAAAUAAAGUUAUAAAAGAUCCUUGCACGAUCAUUCAAAUAAAUGUGCGUCGACGUGCCUCUAUAACAUACAUAUUUACAUACAUUUGUACAUAUGUCUGUAUGCCUGUAUGUCUUUAUGUGAACAAGUAAUACAUCCGAUAGUUAUCAACGAAGCAUUCGCACCAAAAAAUUACGUGUAAACAAACGCGUGCAGACGGGCACGCGAAAAAAAAUAACAACAACAAUAACAACAACAAUAACAACAAUAACAAGUAGCGUUCUACGUACAAUCUGCAAGCGCACACAAACAAACAUCAUACAUACAAGAAUAUAUACAUAUAUAUUACAAGUAGACAAGCAACCCACUAGCCCACCGGCCCACCGGCUCACCGGCUCACCAGUGCACCAGUACAGCAGUCCAGCCGUCCACCAGCCAAACAGCCAGCCACACAACUUACGCUAAGCGGAAAGCGCUAUUGAGUUCGAGCGGCGCAUACAAAACUUGGGAUUGCCCGUUUGUCUAUUACAUACAUACAUACAUACACACACAUAUAUAUGUAUAUAUAUAUAUGCUGUAUAUGUAAAAAUGUAUGCACGUCUGCUUUAGCUUUAACAGAUAUCAAUCCACAUGCUGAGCAUAAUUAAUUUGCCGUAUGCCAUUUGUGUCGGUCAGUGGUGGUAGAUGUGCUUGUGUUAGUGUGUUUUAUAUUGUAGAACGUUUAGUGGAGGAAAACAUACAUACAUACAGACAGACAUAUAGAUAUGUUGAGCGACACACAUAUGUACAUACAUAUAAACGAAUGUGCAAAAGUUGAGCGUUUUUUGUGAAGCUUCCUAGUGAUUAUUACUUACAUACAUGCAUACAUAUAUGCAUAUAUGUACAUAUAUCCAUUUAUAGCUGUAUAGCUAUGUAUAUUUCGUAUUUACAUGCAUUAAAACAAAUAUAAAAACAAUUUUAUAUGGAUCGCAACAGUUGAAAUUACGCGUUCGCUCUGAAUAAUGCCAACAGAGGCAGACAUACUCGUACAUACAUUUAAGCAUCUACAUAUACAUACAUAUGCUGUAUGUAUUACAUAUAUAUACAUUCACAGCAACGCUUACCAAUCGUGAAACUGAAUUCUACAAACAAGUAUUAUGCAUAGACGACAAAAA
Long non-coding RNA from Ceratitis capitata (Mediterranean fruit fly), 1393 nucleotides. RefSeq lists it as uncharacterized. The record is from RefSeq and is a predicted model, not a curated record. The transcript has 2 exons. NCBI's taxonomy places the organism in Eukaryota, Metazoa, Arthropoda, Insecta, Diptera, Tephritidae.